UACAGAGGGUGCGAGCGUUAAUCGGAAUUACUGGGCGUAAAGCGCACGUAGGUGGCGACGUAAGUCAGCUGUGAAAGCCCCGGGCUCAACCUGGGAACUGCGGUUGAAACUGGCGAACUAGAAUCUGGCAGAGGGGGGUGGAAUUCCACGUGUAGCAGUGAAAUGCGUAGAGAUGUGGAGGAACACCGAUGGCGAAGGCAGCCCCCUGGGCUGAGAUUGACGCUCAGGCACGAAAGCGUGGGGAGCAAACAGG
RNAcentral lists this ribosomal RNA (253 nucleotides) under uncultured bacterium. RNAcentral's name for it is "partial 16S ribosomal RNA". It matches the Rfam family "Bacterial small subunit ribosomal RNA", at positions 524 to 776 of the family's 1533-position model. The record is from RNAcentral.